This 450-nucleotide ribosomal RNA is filed under the name uncultured bacterium. RNAcentral describes it as "bacterial SSU rRNA". It matches the Rfam family "Bacterial small subunit ribosomal RNA", at positions 29 to 524 of the family's 1533-position model. The record is from RNAcentral.
AACGAACGCUGGCGGCAUGCCUAACACAUGCAAGUCGAACGAGACCUUCGGGUCUAGUGGCGCACGGGUGCGUAACGCGUGGGAAUCUGCCCUUGGGUUCGGAAUAACAGUUAGAAAUGACUGCUAAUACCGGAUAAUGUCUUCGGACCAAAGAUUUAUCGCCCAGGGAUGAGCCCGCGUAGGAUUAGCUAGUUGGUGAGGUAAAGGCUCACCAAGGCGACGAUCCUUAGCUGGUCUGAGGGGAUGAUCAGCCACACUGGGACUGAGACACGGCCCAGACUCCUACGGGAGGCAGCAGUGGGGAAUAUUGGACAAUGGGCGAAAGCCUGAUCCAGCAAUGCCGCGUGAGUGAUGAAGGCCUUAGGGUUGUAAAGCUCUUUUACCCGGGAUGAUAAUGACAGUACCGGGAGAAUAAGCCCCGGCUAACUCCGUGCCAGCAGCCGCGGUAAU